CGUGUUCCGUUUUCUUCUCCUUCUUCUUCUGUUUUCAUUUCCUUCUUCUUCUUCUCUUUUUCUUUUUUUGGCACUUUUCCAGCAUGUACCCAUCGACUCAUUUCUCCUUGUGAAUAUUUUCCAACGACUUUUCACUUUUCUGAGCAUCCUCUGUCUUCUCCGCUGGAUCGAAUACUCUGAUAUCAUUUUGUUAGGAACCAACCCUUAUUCAACUAAAACACAAAAAACAUAAUAAACUAAAACUAUUUUAUUAAUAAAAAGAUUACAAUGAUAAACCAAACAAUUCAAGGAGUUCGAAACCUCCAAUUUUCCGGUCGUUCGAGGCGCCUGAGACCUUAUACAAUCAACCAAGGAUGGCUGCCUACAUACAAAACCCUAAUAUAUUUUCUUCUCCCCCUUUUUGAAACCCAAACAUAUAUUUAUAAUAGAGAUUGAUCAUUGGAUUGAGGACAAGUGUCCCAAUCCUAACACAGUUGCUCUUUGCUGGUAAAACUAUGGAAGAUAUCUUUUGGCUUCAAGUAGAUUCAAGGUGGUUUAAUAUUUCUACACAGCUUCAGGAUUUUGAGUUACGACAAUUUAUUAAUGACACAUAUCGCCUACCUGAGAGACCGAAAGUUGUUUUCGGACUUCUGGGUUCCACAGCUUAUACAUAGCUUGAUAAUGCAGCAUAUAGAGAAUUUCUUUGCAAAGAGUUGAAUGUCUCAACUAUUGAUGAAGAGAGUGCUUCCAUUGUGAUGACAUGUCUAUCAAAUGGGGUGCCCUCUAUUGUAUUUCAUGGAAUUUUAGAUUUGGCUGGUGGGGAAGAAAAGCUAUUGUCCUUCAGCCUCAGUUCACUAGCUUCUAUCAAUGCUUUGAGUGUUGCAGUUGAGUUUAUUACAUUACUUGAUAAGGAAAACACACUUCAUGGCCACCAAAAACUGGUAUUUUUUUCAGCAUUUUGACAGUAAACAAGGAUUUUUUAUCUCUAUUCUGAAAAAUAGGUAAAAGUAUUGCUGACAAUC
This is a long non-coding RNA of Mangifera indica (mango), 1001 nucleotides long. RefSeq lists it as uncharacterized. The record is from RefSeq and is a predicted model, not a curated record. The transcript has 3 exons. Lineage: Eukaryota; Viridiplantae; Streptophyta; Magnoliopsida; Sapindales; Anacardiaceae.